GAGGUUUAGUUCAGAGUGACCUAACCUUAGCGGAAGUUUUGAUUGUGACCUCUACUUGAGCUAGAUCUAGAUGUAAGAGUAGAUAACCAUAGGAUAAGGCCUCCUAAGCACUCAAAAUUUUGGAACAUAGACUCUAGUCUAUGGAUCAAGUCAACCCUAGUGUGAAAAGAUUUUUGAGACGUAACUUUGUUUCAUUAGCAGUCCCAGCAAUUGUUGCUAUCAGCAUUUAUCUGGACUUGAGAAGGACACAUAAACAAAAGACAGAUUGAGAAUUAUGGUGCUGAGGAAGCUGCAACCUUCUCACUACAAAAUAUUGGCCAUGGGUGUGAUACCCUUGUUUGGGUUUUGGGCUGGUGCCUACCAGCAGUUCCUGUGGGAUCAACACUGUGCCACAUACAGAAACAAAAGCAAGUUGUUUGGGGGCAGACAGACUCAAGAUGGCCAGGAAGUUUGGUACUAGGCUCCUCUGCUCCUCCUUUGAUUUUCUUAAUUAAACCAUAGUUAGAAUUAGUCCUGAUCUUGUCUUAAUGCUUUCCUAGGAGUGGUAGCUUGAUCUAUGCAGAGAGCGUGUUUUGGGAAUGGUCAGUUGAGGCAUGUGUUGGGAAUGGUCAGUUGAGAAUGGUAGACAAACUAAGCAAUACAUCACAAACAGAAUGGUAGACAAAUUAAGCAACACAUCACAAACACAAUGGUAGUAGGUAUUCUAAAUGAGCCGAAAAAUUUAAGCCGGUUUUAAAAUUUUUUGGUCGCGUUGCGGCAUCGCGCGGCGGUCCGACCCCAUAAUACAUACGCAAUUAGAAACCACUGAUUUAGAAAGAAGAAUGGUAGCUCUGUAAGAUGGUAUAACUUUGCCAGCUGUAUAAUAUAAUUAAAUGCUAAAAAUGUUCAAUUUAAAAUUUUAAAAUGAUUUUUUUCCAUGAAAAAAUAAUUUUACAGCCGCCAAAGUUGUAUAUUCCGAAAGGGCAUCCAAUUUGCCAUAAAACUGUUACGAUUUAAUGAACACUCCAUGUAUGGGGUCGGACCGCAGUAAAUGAAACCAAUGUAUACAAAUCGCGACGACCCGCAUCUAAAUUUCGCCGGCUCGAGUCAAGAUUGUGUUGAAUUCCGGAACACCCGACCUCGGUUCAGAGCAAGAUUUUGUGUUCAUUCGUUGAUUACAGUGGAUUUAAAAACACGUGCAGAGCAAGAUAUUAGCAUGAAAGAAAGGGGAAACUCAUUGGCCUACCAAAAAUUUUGUAUUGUUGUGAAAGCAACAACAGGACUCCUGAAUACUUUUGAAGGAAACCAUAUGUCAAAUACAUUUUCUAUACUCUGGACCAAUGGAAGGAUCCCUUACUAGAUUCCAUAAUUUGAUCUGUAACCUUGAAGAAGACACUCAACCAGGAUAUUGACUAUUAAUUACAAUGCUACCCAACCUCAUAGAGAAAUUUCCCAAUCAGGAUAUUGACCUGUCUUUUUGAACCUGCUCUAAGAUUUCUGAUAAUUGUAUAAGUUAGGACCUAGACAUUUCCAGAAGUUGACUUUGAUCAAUAACUAACUAGAAGAAAUAAAUAUACUAGUAACAAGUAAAUUUAUGCUAAACAAGUCAUGAUUAGGAACCAGAGUAACAAAACUAGAUGAACAUCACAACUCUAUUAGGGUAAUUUAAAAAGAAUUUCAGUUUAAUUAGUUAUCUUACUUCGUCAGUUUUUAAAAUGCAUGGAAUUUCUUCUUAUUAUAGUAUAUAAGUAAAGAAGUAGUAUAGUUAUUUAGUUUUUUAUAACAAAGUAAUGCUAACAUGUUUCCUACACAAUUUAUAUUACUUUCUUAAAAGUAAGAACACUUUUUGCAAGAUGUUAGGUAAUGAAAAUUCUUGAUUUUGGGCGUUGAGGAAGGAUGCCUUGUAUUGUUUUGCAGAAUGAUUAUUUUAUGUCUCUGUGUUUAUUAUAUAUUAAGAAC
Molecule: long non-coding RNA, 1938 nt
Organism: Physella acuta
Lineage: Eukaryota; Metazoa; Mollusca; Gastropoda; Physidae
Source: RefSeq, a predicted model, not a curated record